GAUGAACGCUGGCGGCGUGCCUAAUACAUGCAAGUCGAGCGAACAGACGAGGAGCUUGCUCCUCUGACGUUAGCGGCGGACGGGUGAGUAACACGUGGAUAACCUACCUAUAAGACUGGGAUAACUUCGGGAAACCGGAGCUAAUACCGGAUAAUAUAUUGAACCGCAUGGUUCAAUAGUGAAAGACGGUUUUGCUGUCACUUAUAGAUGGAUCCGCGCCGCAUUAGCUAGUUGGUAAGGUAACGGCUUACCAAGGCAACGAUGCGUAGCCGACCUGAGAGGGUGAUCGGCCACACUGGAACUGAGACACGGUCCAGACUCCUACGGGAGGCAGCAGUAGGGAAUUUUGCGCAAUGGGCGAAAGCCUGACGGAGCAACGCCGCGUGAGUGAUGAAGGUCUUCGGAUCGUAAAACGCUGUUAUUAGGGAAGAACAAAUGUGUAAGUAACUAUGCACGUCUUGACGGUACCUAAUCAGAAAGCCACGGCUAACUACGUG
This 497-nucleotide ribosomal RNA is filed under the name uncultured bacterium. RNAcentral describes it as "partial 16S ribosomal RNA". It matches the Rfam family "Bacterial small subunit ribosomal RNA", at positions 28 to 507 of the family's 1533-position model. The record is from RNAcentral.